GCUGACGUAGCUCAGUUGGUAGAGCUCCUGAUUUGUAAUCAGGUGGUCGCGAGUUCGAGUCUCGCCGUCAGCU
Molecule: non-coding RNA, 73 nt
Organism: Gemmatimonadetes bacterium SCN 70-22
Lineage: Bacteria; Pseudomonadati; Gemmatimonadota
Source: Rfam